GAUGAAGAACGUAGCGAAAUGCGAUAAGUAAUGUGAAUUGCAGAAUUCAGUGAAUCAUCGAAUCUUUGAACGCACAUUGCGCCCGCCAGUAUUCUGGCGGGCAUGCCUGUUCGAGCGUCAUUUCAACCCUCAAGCACAGCUUGGUGUUGGGACUCGCGUUAAUUCGCGUUCCCCAAAUUGAUUGGCGGUCACGUCGAGCUUCCAUAGCGUAGUAGUAAAACCCUCGUUACUGGUAAUCGUCGCGGCCACGCCGUUAAACCCCAACUUCUGAAUGUUGACCUCGGAUCAGGUAGGAAUACCCGCUGAACUUAAGCAUAUCAAUAAGCGGAGGA
RNAcentral lists this unclassified non-coding RNA (332 nucleotides) under soil metagenome. Its description in RNAcentral is "partial contains 5.8S ribosomal RNA, internal transcribed spacer 2, and large subunit ribosomal RNA". The stretch from base 1 to 120 matches the Rfam family "5.8S ribosomal RNA", at positions 35 to 154 of the family's 154-position model. The record is from RNAcentral.